ACUGCUUAGGUGCCCCCUUAUGGGGAGAAUAGGGAACCGUGUGUGAAUCACGGACUGUCGCGCAACUGUAAUCACCAUGAGUUUUUUCCGAAUAUGUCCACUGUCAUGAUGAUGGGAAGGACGGUAAAGACGGUGAAAGUCAGGAUACCUGCCUUAGCGGAUU
Molecule: non-coding RNA, 163 nt
Filed under: uncultured Odoribacter sp.
Lineage: Bacteria; Pseudomonadati; Bacteroidota; Bacteroidia; Bacteroidales; Odoribacteraceae
Source: RNAcentral